This is a long non-coding RNA of Pundamilia nyererei, 1495 nucleotides long. RefSeq lists it as uncharacterized. NCBI's taxonomy places the organism in Eukaryota, Metazoa, Chordata, Actinopteri, Cichliformes, Cichlidae. The transcript has 3 exons. The record is from RefSeq and is a predicted model, not a curated record.
UGAGUUCACCGGGGGCUCUGGUGAAGUCUUCCUGCACUGCAAACUCCACGUGUGUCCCAAACAGAACAACUGUGUCCCGACUUGUCCUGCAGGUGCUCGCAGACGCAGAUCUGCCAGGUCCAAAUAUGAAGGUAAAGCCUUCAUCAGCAUGGCCUGGACUCAUUAGGUGGUUUCCAUGGUGACUCGGACUGACUUACAAGUUACUGACCUCCACGAUGAUCCUUGACUUCUGAUUGGUCCUGAGCCAGAUUUUGGAUGUUGGGAAGACUGAGCUGAGUUCUGCGGCAAACUCCCACAGCUGGAAUAAGCAGAUGUUUUUUUAGAGCAGGACCAAACUGUCGUCUUUGACACAUGAUAAAGUUCAGAUGAUGGUUUUUUUUUUCAGUUUCAUUAGUAACUUGGUGAAAGGGAAGAGUGUGAGCUGCAUGUGAUUUCCAGCCUAACCAUAUAAAUAAAUCUGGGGUAAAUCUACACUCCUGAAACUUAACAGAAUCAGAUCUCACUAACACUGUCAGAUAUUUUACUUGAGUUGAGGAUACUGGACAUAUUUAUUUCUUGGCUAUAUUCAUAGAAAGAAAUAUAUGAACACAGGUCCAACGCAUCCAUGAACAGUGAGGCCUUGACCAAAGCGGUAUUUUUCUUUCUCAGGUUGUUGUAAUUUAAAAUGAUUUAGGUACAAAGUGAUGAAAAUUUCCAGUGAAUCAAGUAAAAAAUGGUUUAUUCUGUGAACAUUAAGUGAUUUAAAAGUAAAUAUGAAAAUCAUGUCUUUAAGAAGGUGGUAAUCAGGGUAAAAUAUUUAAAGGGGAUCAUCUGGUUUCUUACUCUUUUUUUGUAGCUGAAUGUUGUAAAGGUGAAGGUGUGUGGAUUUCUUUUUCACCUGUUAUCAGACCAUUACAAUCAUGUGAAGUAUGCAAGCAGAGUCUCUUUAACUCCGAUUGUCUUAUAAAACAAGCCGGGUGCAGCUCAAAGUGGACACAGCUGCUGAACUGUUAUUAGCGAAAGAACCAAGAGAGGACCACAGCUGAGUUAUCAAAGCUGUAAUUUGGUCUCUUUAAGGCUGGUGAAACAAACCAGUGCUGGAGUCCAUGUGACAGAAAACUGACCAGCUGUAACCAAAGCUGCAGUCAGCUGAUCUGUGGUCGUAUCUUUAAACAACUGUGUCACAGUGAAACAAAACAGCUGGUUUAUGUGUUUCCCAUUUGAGCUGCUGAUUGGCACAUAAAGUUGCAGGACAGCAUCACCUUUACUGUGAUCUUUAGUGCUCUGAUAAGCUCAAGAACAUAUGGAAGUUACAUCUUUCCUUUUAGAAAACACACAGUACAAAGUGAGCAUGAUUUCAUGGUGACUUUUUCCUUUCUGUGUUCUUUUUGGAGGCAGCAGUGUUGAUAACAGCACAUGAAACUGAGACUUGAUGCUCUGCUUUGUCGCCUUCACGCUUUACUGUUUGUUCCAAAAGACCAAAAAAAAUAAAUAAAGGACAUGGGUAAUAAAAUAA